UUUUGCCCAAUGAAUAAUUUAAAUGGCUGCAGUAUUUUGACUGUGCAAAGGUAGCAUAAUAAUUAGUCAUUUAAUUGUUGACUUGUAUGAAUGAUUAUAUGAGGGAUUUUUUUUAUUAUUUAUAUUUAUAUAAUUUUAUUUUUAGGUAAGAAAGCUUAAUUUUUUUUUAGGGACGAUAAGACCCUAUAGAACUUUAUUUUUUAUUUUUUACUUAAAUUUAUUUGUAAUUUAUUUUUAUUAUUUUAUAAGAAAUUUAGUUGGGGCGACUAGUAAAUAUUAAACUUUACUUUUUUAUUUCAUUUUUAAAUGAUUUUAAGAUCCUGUUUUUUAGAUUAAAAGUUUUAGUUACCUUAGGGAUAACAGCGUAAUUUUAAUGGGAAGUUCAUAUUUAUAUUAAAGUUUGCGACCUCGAUGUUGAAUUAAGAUAAAUUUAGGGGGUAG
This 441-nucleotide ribosomal RNA is filed under the name Conoguinula coeruleopennis. RNAcentral's name for it is "partial large subunit ribosomal RNA". Lineage: Eukaryota; Metazoa; Arthropoda; Insecta; Hemiptera; Cicadellidae. The record is from RNAcentral.